GGACUACUGGGGUAUCUAAUCCCGUUCGCUCCCCUGGCUUUCGCCCCUGAGCGUCAGGAACCAUCCAGGACAGUGCCUUCGCCUUUGGUGUUCCUCCGAAUAUCUACGCAUUUCACCACUCCACUCGGAAUUCCCUGUCCCUCUCUGGCCCUCAAGUCAGCCCGUUUUUGAGACGCUCGGUCAGGUAGGCCGACCGCUGUCACCUCAAACGCUGCUGACCGCCUGCGGGCGCUUUACGCCCAGUCACUCCGGACAACGCUUGCCCCCUACGUAUUACCGCGGCUGCUGGCAC
This 292-nucleotide ribosomal RNA is filed under the name uncultured bacterium. RNAcentral describes it as "partial 16S ribosomal RNA". The record is from RNAcentral.